GGGCGAGUAGCUUAGUCUGGUUAGAGCGCUACGCUGAUAACGUAGAGGUCCCCAGUUCGAAUCUGGGCCCGCCCA
RNAcentral lists this transfer RNA (75 nucleotides) under Candidatus Woesearchaeota archaeon. RNAcentral describes it as "tRNA-Ile". It matches the Rfam family "tRNA". From Rfam's summary of the family: Transfer RNA (tRNA) molecules are approximately 80 nucleotides in length. The record is from RNAcentral. Lineage: Archaea; Nanobdellati; Candidatus Woesearchaeota.